GCUGGCAUAGCUCAGUAGGUAGAGCAAUUCACUCGUAAUGAAUAGGUCGGGGGUUCGAAUCCCUCUGCCAGCU
This 73-nucleotide transfer RNA is filed under the name marine sediment metagenome. It matches the Rfam family "tRNA". Rfam says of the family: Transfer RNA (tRNA) molecules are approximately 80 nucleotides in length. Their secondary structure includes four short double-helical elements and three loops (D, anti-codon, and T loops). The record is from RNAcentral.